Mytilus californianus (California mussel) is the source of this 1045-nucleotide long non-coding RNA. RefSeq lists it as uncharacterized. The transcript has 5 exons. NCBI's taxonomy places the organism in Eukaryota, Metazoa, Mollusca, Bivalvia, Mytilida, Mytilidae. The record is from RefSeq and is a predicted model, not a curated record.
AUCGGUAAAUUCAGUUUAAAUGAGAAUUGAUGUGCUUCGUCUCUCAGAGAAUUAUCCCGUACGGUUCACAGAAACGAGCGUCUCAGACGACACAUUUGGACGACACCAAUUUUGACACCACAGUAGUGGCAAUGGAAAGUAAUGCAGAUACUCUUGAAGAUAUAACAGAUAAUAAGCAGGGCAUGAACGAAGUAUGGAGGAUCUGUUUGAAAAUUCCAGACAUGAGAAAGAAAAUGACAGGGAGAGAUGUCCAGUUCAACGUUACCAGGAUAAUUCAGCAAAGUUCCAACAGAUAUAAAAAAUCUGAAUUUGAGGCAAAUAUAUACUGUCAUGUAUAUAUAUACACAUGAUAUAAGAUGGAUAAAGUACAUGAUACUUUAGCAGUGCUUCAGAGAAUCACAUUUGGCUACAGAAGUUUGUAGUAUUUUGGUUGUAAUCAAGUUAUUAAGCUGAAGCUUCAUAGUAAAACAGAUCUAGGCUACACCUUCACUAUUCAAGUCAGACUUUAAAAGGAAGCCUUUUUUGUUGAUAGCUGAACAUAUGAAGAAACUUUCAAAAGAGUGGAGCAUUUAGAAGACGGAACAAUCAAAUAUUAUUUGUUACUAUUUCAGUAACUUUUCAAAUGUUAACUGUUUAGAAUAUUCUUAAAUAUAAAUAUAAUUGAAUUUAAUGUGGAAAGUGUUUUGUUUUUUUUAACAUUUGGUAACAUAUGCCUCUGUUAGGGACAAUUUUUUAAUCAUAAGCUGAUUAUUUUUAGAUUUGUCAUGGUAAACCUGCAAGGGACACAACUCUUGAAGAAUGAACAUUGUAAAAUAGCUAGUCUGUAUUGAAUUGUUGUUUGGUAUACAUUUGGUUUUGCAUUAUUUGUUGUGCAAUUUCGAAUUCGACUUCUUUUCAAACAUUGUAUAAAUUUAAAAUGUAGCUGACUUUGACAUUGGUAUUCAUACUUUUAGAUUUUUUAUGAAUUGUCAAACAAACGCGAUUAUAAAGCAAGAAUUUCAAACAAACAAAAAAAGAAAUACUAACAGGAAGAUUCGAAAGGUUU